AUUGAACGCUGGCGGCAUGCUUUACACAUGCAAGUCGAACGGCAGCGGGGGCUUCGGUCCGCCGGCGAGUGGCGAACGGGUGAGUAAUGCAUCGGAACGUGCCCAGUCGUGGGGGAUAACACAUCGAAAGAUGUGCUAAUACCGCAUACGUCCUGAGGGAGAAAGCGGGGGAUCUUCGGACCUCGCGCGAUUGGAGCGGCCGAUGUCGGAUUAGCUAGUUGGUGGGGUAAAGGCCCACCAAGGCGACGAUCCGUAGCGGGUCUGAGAGGAUGAUCCGCCACACUGGGACUGAGACACGGCCCAGACUCCUACGGGAGGCAGCAGUGGGGAAUUUUGGACAAUGGGGGCAACCCUGAUCCAGCCAUGCCGCGUGAGUGAAGAAGGCCU
Molecule: ribosomal RNA, 387 nt
Filed under: uncultured bacterium
Lineage: Bacteria
Description: bacterial SSU rRNA
Rfam family: Bacterial small subunit ribosomal RNA
Source: RNAcentral